Molecule: ribosomal RNA, 482 nt
Filed under: uncultured bacterium
Lineage: Bacteria
Description: partial 16S ribosomal RNA
Rfam family: Bacterial small subunit ribosomal RNA
Source: RNAcentral
AUUGAACGCUGGCGGCAUGCCUUACACAUGCAACUCGAACGGUAACGGGCCUUCGGGUGCCGACGAGUGGCGAACGGGUGAGUAAUACAUCGGAACGUGCCCGAUCGUGGGGGAUAACGAGGCGAAAGCUUUGCUAAUACCGCAUACGAUCUACGGAUGAAAGCAGGGGACCGCAAGGCCUUGCGCGGACGGAGCGGCCGAUGGCAGAUUAGGUAGUUGGUGGGAUAAAAGCUUACCAAGCCGACGAUCUGUAGCUGGUCUGAGAGGAUGAUCAGCCACACUGGGACUGAGACACGGCCCAGACUCCUACGGGAGGCAGCAGUGGGGAAUUUUGGACAAUGGGCGCAAGCCUGAUCCAGCCAUGCCGCGUGCAGGAUGAAGGCCUUCGGGUUGUAAACAGAUUUUGUACGGAACGAAAAGCCUUCUUUUAAUACAGGAGGGUCAUGACGGUACCGGAAGAAUAAGCACCGGCUAACUACGUG